CCUACGGGAGGCAGCAGUGGGGGAUAUUGCACAAUGGGGGAAACCCUGAUGCAGCGACGCCGCGUGAGUGAAGACGUAUUUCUGUAUGUAAAGCUCUAUCAGCAGGGAAGCAAAUGACAGUACCUGACCAAGAAGCCCCGUCUAAAUACGUGCCAGCAGCCGGGGGAAUACGUAGGGGGCAGGCGUUAUCCGGAUUUAAUGGGUGUAAAGGGAGCUUAGUCGGUUUAGUAAGUCUGGAGUGAAAGCUCGGGGGCCAACCCCGGGAAUGCUGUGGAAACUGGGUAACUGGAGUGCAGGAGGGGCAGGCGGAAUUCGUGGUGUAGCGGUGAAAUGCGUAGAUAUCAGGAGGAACACCGGUGGCGAAGGCGGCAUGCUGGCGUGCAACUGACGUUGAGGCACGAAAGCGUGGGGAGCAAACAGGAUUAGAUACCCGAGUAGUC
RNAcentral lists this ribosomal RNA (440 nucleotides) under uncultured bacterium. RNAcentral's name for it is "partial 16S ribosomal RNA". It matches the Rfam family "Bacterial small subunit ribosomal RNA", at positions 338 to 795 of the family's 1533-position model. The record is from RNAcentral.